AUAAUUAUCUAUAUACCUCUCAAAAUUUUAAAAAUAUCUCAUUUAUUUUUUUUUUUCUUUCUAAUAUAUCCAUCAUAUGUUUCUCCGUUAUUCCAAAAUACCCCCGCAGUUACCACCCGUUAAAUUAACUUGGGUUAAAUGUUAGUUAAAUAUCUACUAGAGUUAAAAAAAUCAAAAUGCCUCUUUUUCCCUUAAGGGUAAAUAAAAAAUGUUGGUGAUGGUAUAAGGAUAUAUUUGAAAAGACUAAAGAAUAAAAUAUUUUUUGUGCUUCUAACUUAAGAGCAGAUAAGAAAAGUUGGUGAUGGUACAAAGGUAUAUUAGAAAGGAUAAAAUAGUAAUUUUAUAGAAAUAAUAGCUGUAACAGAUUUUAAGUCUGGGAAUAUAUUUGAAAUAGGUUGAAAUGUAAAAAAAGUAUUUUUAAUAUUAAUUUCUAAGAAGGAUAAAUUAGAAAGUCGAAAACUUAAUAGUAGUGUUGCUGCGACGAAAUUUCUUUUUAUAGAAAAAGCGAAAGUCCCAAAAAAAGACUUUUUUUUCCUCUUCAAU
This 543-nucleotide long non-coding RNA is filed under the name Ananas comosus (pineapple). RNAcentral's name for it is "long non-coding RNA (ACOM_LNC015644)". The record is from RNAcentral. Lineage: Eukaryota; Viridiplantae; Streptophyta; Magnoliopsida; Poales; Bromeliaceae.